GUGAGGAAUAUUGCGCAAUGGGCGAAAGCCUGACGCAGCGACGCCGCGUGGGGGAUGAAGGUUUUCGGAUUGUAAACCCCUUUCGGGAGGGAAGAUGGAACGGGUAACCGUUCGGACGGUACCUCCAGAAGCAGCCACGGCUAACUUCGUGCCAGCAGCCGCGGUAAUACGAAGGUGGCAAGCGUUGUUCGGAUUUACUGGGCGUACAGGGUGCGUAGGCGGUCUGGUAAGCCCUUCGGGAAAGCCCUCGGCUCAACCGGGGAAGUUCGGAGGGUACUGCCGGGCUAGAGGACGGGAGAGGAGCGCGGAAUUCCCGGUGUAGCGGUGAAAUGCGUAGAGAUCGGGAGGAAGGCCGGUGGCGAAGGCGGCGCUCUGGAACGUUCCUGACGCUGAGGCACGAAAGCGUGGGGAGCAAACAGGAUUAGAAACCCCGGUAGUCC
This 440-nucleotide ribosomal RNA is filed under the name uncultured bacterium. Its description in RNAcentral is "bacterial SSU rRNA". It matches the Rfam family "Bacterial small subunit ribosomal RNA", at positions 354 to 796 of the family's 1533-position model. The record is from RNAcentral.